Quercus lobata is the source of this 2141-nucleotide long non-coding RNA. RefSeq lists it as uncharacterized. The record is from RefSeq and is a predicted model, not a curated record. Lineage: Eukaryota; Viridiplantae; Streptophyta; Magnoliopsida; Fagales; Fagaceae. The transcript has 3 exons.
UACAAAAAGACUAGUACAUAACCCGACGUUUAUUUUGUUUUUAAAAAAAAGUCUUAGCACCGUAGAAUAGUUACUACAAUGUCGCGCUAACACGUGUGUAAAACCAAAAGCCAACUAAAUUGGGCCUUCUGGUUGAGAAUCAACAAUCCCACAUCGUUUAGUUACACAAAGCGAUCUAUGUUUAUAACAAAGAGUGAGAGUACAAGGCUCGUCCCUUCGGGGACAUCUGAUAAAAUUGGAACGAUACAGAGAAGAUUAGCAUGGCCCCUGCGCAAGGAUGACACGCAUAAAUCGAGAAAUGGUCCAAACUUUUUUCGCUCCCCAAACCCCAUGUGUGAAUUCUUCCAUGGCUUCCACUGUCUUCUUCGUUCUGCACAAAGAAGUUGCACAGGGAUUGCUGCUAGGACCUCCAUCAGCAUCAUGUGGGACCUGUGAAUUGCUCUUAGACUAGAAUAGAACUUCAUCAGGUGAAUUUCAAUCAUUUUGAAACUAUAAUCUCCUUUUUAUGAAGUUUGAUUGUACAAAAGCACACAAUUCUUUUCAUUUAAAAUAGGGGUAAAAAUGCAGUGUUACAAAUCAAAACUUUGUUCAAUCAAAUCAUGACCCAAAUAGCAACUCCAAUUUGCACCCUUGGCCUUAGUCCAGAGAAAGGGCAAAUGGUGAUAAUAUCAAUAGCAGCCCGUAAAAAUGUAUGAUCAGUUCUUUGGUUCUCAUUGAUGCUAACCAAAUUGAUUGGAGUUACACUUGAGUCUGCCAUGAAUGUUAUGAGCGAUUACAGCCAUUUACAUAGCUUAUCAUUGUAAAAUUCAAAAUGGUCGUCAUUUCUCAGCUUGGAUCCAUACCAUGAAAAUUUUCAAAAUACAAGUCAUUAUGGUAGUGGUGGUCAGGAUUCCAGAGGUAGCAUUUGAGUGGAUCUCUCAAUUACUGAUCUGCCUUCAGGAACCGAGUAGCGUUUGGAGUGUAUGUAUUUCACUGUCCCUAUGACAGAACAUUGCUGCUGUGGAGAUUGCAUUGACUUGGCUCUUCAUUUAGUAGCAUCACUCAUUGGAGUUUAACAAAAUGCUGCCCCACCUGAAAUAUGCAGGUUACCUGCCAUUGAAUUUGCUAAUUUUUGUAUUAAAUGACCACUUAUGUAAUUUUAAAACUUUGGGAAAGGAUCCCCUCCAAUUCCCUUCAAUUUUUAGAUAGAUGAGAGACCUUGCAUCUAAAAAAUCCAAAGGUCUUUAAAAUCACACAAGAUCAAAUAAAUGCCACUUGUCAUAAAUUUGACUAAAAAUUGGAAGGAAUUGGAGGAUUUAGAUGGGAGGGGAUCUUUCCUCACAGAGUUUUGUUCAUUAUCUAAACAUUUGAUUUGGAAUUUCUUGUUUGAUGGUGUUUUUUGCUGCUUUAGAUAGUCAUUAUAAGCUCCGGAUGAAUUGGUGCCACUUGUAGUACCAGUGGUUUUAGCGUGUGAACUCCAUUUGGACAGAUAUAAGUUUACAGUUUAAAGUUCAAACCAACUCUAUAGGCUAGAAGUUUGUUAGUGCAAACAUUUUAAGAGGCUGAUGCAGAGCAACAUUGACAAAGCUGAGGAAAUUGAUUGGGUAAUUUUUAUAGAAAAGGAACAAGUGAUUGGGUAAUUUUUAUAGAAAAGGAACAAGUGAAUAGAUAGACGAAAUUAAUGUUCAGCUAUACAAUACUACGUGUUUAGUUUGAAGAAAAUUUUGAAGUAGAUUUUCUUAUUCAGUUCAUGAUGCUUACUAUACUCAUGAAACAAAGGAGCCUCUCAAUAUGCUUUGAAAUGGAGAGAGUUCUUUUCAUGGGAAAGAUGUAGUAGUUAAUAGAUCUAAAGGUAAGUAUAGUCACGUCAUUUUGAAAUCAGUAAAUCAGUUAUCAUUCCUUAUUUGGUGGAAUGAAAUAUUAAAUUAGAAAAAUGCUACGUUUACAACAUUUUUCACAACAAAUCUUUGGUGGUAAAUUGUUAUUAAUUCAAUUUGAACCUAGCACUGAAAAGUGAUAACUUGCCGCUUGGGAUUUGUUGUGAAAAUGUUGUAAACAUAACAUUUCUCUUUAAAUUAUGUGGGGCUCAUGUACACUAUUAGAUUCACUAAAUCAGAACCAUGAAAUGAGGCAAAUAAAGAGCAUCCUGAUAUGCUGAUGAA